Non-coding RNA from Streptomyces rubellomurinus, 75 nucleotides. It matches the Rfam family "ASpks TB sRNA". The record is from Rfam. Lineage: Bacteria; Bacillati; Actinomycetota; Actinomycetes; Kitasatosporales; Streptomycetaceae.
CUUGAUCGAACCCAGCCACAACGGCUCGUCGCCGACCCGCUCGCGCCCGUACGUCGCCAGCAGCGCGUGCGCCUC